Long non-coding RNA from Pocillopora damicornis (cauliflower coral), 2603 nucleotides. RefSeq lists it as uncharacterized. NCBI's taxonomy places the organism in Eukaryota, Metazoa, Cnidaria, Anthozoa, Scleractinia, Pocilloporidae. The record is from RefSeq and is a predicted model, not a curated record.
CAUUUCAGGUUUACCCGACUGUUGUUUGAAAAUCAAAACUUGCAGUUAUUUCUGCAUGAAAACAAUAGUAUUUUCCUCGUUAGUUGCACAUCAUUUUUCCGGUUUACCUUAACUCCUGAAAUAAGCUGCUCGCCUUCCACGAAGGGUUUUGUGAGAUCUUUCUGGCUGAGAACUGGCGUGUUGAUCUUACAUUGUGGAAAAAAUUAAUCUUAUUUUAAGUAUAAAGCUUUUUUUACCCCUCGAAAACAUAUAUUGGCCGCACAAAUCAAAAUCCGAGGCAGAUAUCGCGAUUUCUGAGUUCUAAACAAAAUACCUUAAGCUGUUCAGAACACUAGAUAUUCACGGUCUUGAAAACCACGAAAAUAUAAGUAUGUAAAAUAUAAGUAUGUUUAAAAUUUCUCAUAUAUUAACAGUGAAAUACCAGAUGUUUGAGUAAGAGAUAUGAGCUCGUCUAAAGCGAGAGGUAUCAAUUUUCGAGCGAGCUUCAACCCAUCUGAGCCGGAUAAUAUGGCACGGGACCAAACGAGAGUCAACCUUACCCUGAGGGUGUGAAAUUUGACACGAUAUUCCCGUAAGAAGGCGAAGGGUGAAGAUUAAAACCUAACUGACAACCAAGUUUCGGGAAGUUGUAAACACUCCAAAAGAGACAAUGUAAAAGGAGAACCUGAACACGAAGCAGAUGUUGUUGAGGAAACAUGCCUGUACUCAAAACAAUAAUAACCUGUUAUGCUUGCAUCUUUUACGAGGCUAAUAUAUAUUUUGAACAGUACAGUGAUGCAAGUAUGCUUAUCAAGAGCCAUCUGUCAUAAAUCAACCGAUAUUUCCUGGUGAUUUCAAACGGAUCGUCUCACAUAGUCACGUACCAGGUGUAACUAAAUUAUUUCAAAGCAGUUGUUUACUCCGCGCGUAAUGGCAAAUUAUGUAAAUUACACCGAGCGACACCAAAUUACAAUGGCUGCAAGCAAGCAAUUAUUUAAUAAUGAUGACAAGAUAAUUGAAGCAAAAGUUUAGAACAAAUGGUUUGCAACGGAAAAGUGCAUUUGUUGCAGAUAAUAUUGACGCUCUCAAGCAAAGGAUAAGAUGGAAAUCACGAGAUUAGAGUUAAGCUCAUUUUUGCUUGUCACCUUUUUGUGGGGUUUGUCACGCGAAUAAAAACAGUCAACUUUACUUCACAAUGAUAAUUGCAGAUGUGGAAAAGCACAACGAACGUAUGUACUGCAAUUUGAAUUGUGUUUGAUUCAGUCGCGCAUAAACUGGUUAUAUGGGCUUGCAUGAGAUCCAAGAUGAAAAAAAAAAAAACGCCAAAAACAAAAACCGAAACGAAACGAUACAAUGAACAGAAGAAAAAAAAAUCGUCGGCUCUUGAACUGGCUUGCAUCCAAAGUUGCUUUUAGCAAAAUAAUUGGGAUCAACAACCGCGUCACGCGUAACGAGUGCGUAGGAACAUUUUUGUGGGUGAAAAGAAUCAGUGCCAAGUAUUUAGUGAAUCGAGGACCAAACACAACGGGAGGAGGAAAAACUUAUUUCUUGUUCAUAACCACUCAAACAGUAACAGGGCGGAGAGGCGGGUGGGAAGGAGGUGUGUAAGAGACGCCGGCUUGUCAGAAGAAGAUUGGAAUGGAUUGAAGGACGGGUGGAAUUCAGAAACGCUACACUACACACGAAGUAACAGAAACAGGAUUAAAAAGGAUUACACCGAAAACUCUUCUAAACUUCUGAAAGGGAAGUUCCGGUCCAGCUCGGUCCGCUCCGCUCCAGGAGUUGGUUACCAUCAUAACGUGAAGUUGAAGUUGGACAUUAUGUUUUUGAUAUGUUAUAGCCAAACAGCGGUAGGAGAUUUUUUGAACUUUAGUUGAAUCAAAUCCACGAGAGUCGGUCGGAUAUAAAACUUCUCGAAUAGGUCAUGCAAAAAGAAGACAAUAAGCCAUUGGAACCCAUCCUAAUUUACAGCUCAUAAUUGAAGUAGUUCGCAAUUUCUGUAAAUAACCGUCUCUAAAGGUCACCCGAAUUAAAAGUCGCAAGAAGGGUGGACUUUGGGGCUUUCCAAGCUGGAAGAUAAGGGUUGCUUAGAUAAAAUUAUGGCGAUAGAGAAGCGCCCCUUGAAGCCAUCUUCACAACAUGGAGGAUGGAAAUUUAUCUCCUUAACCCUUCAACUCUCAAGAUUCAAUUGCUUAUCAUUCACUCUGGCUUCUACACAUUUCCUUGUAAAUUAGUGAUGUUGGUGUUAAAUCAAGAUGACAACUGCUAAAUAAUAGGUUUGAGUAUUGUCAUAGACUGUUUGCUGGAUAAUGUAUGGAGACUUGAGGGACAAGUGACAUGUUAAUCACUUCUUGGAGUUAAAGGAUUAACACGUCGUGAUAUUCCUGGGCUUGACUCCCGCAAUCAGACACAUAACUUUUAUCUCCUUAACACGUCGUGUUAUUUCUGGCUUAACUCCCGCAAUCAGACACAGAUAACUUGAGAAAGCUCGGAAUCAUUACAAACAAUGGAUGGACACUUAAUAAAUAAAGAAAUAUACCAGGAACGAAAUUCUACCAGUCAGCUUUCAACAAACACACUUCUCAUGGCAUACUCGAGCUACACCCUGAAAUAAAUAGUUUUUC